CAGGUCGCCACGUCAGUGGAGCAUUCAAAGAUGCCACUACAAAAGGUGACCCAAAGGAAAGGUCGGGCGGUUUUGAACACGAAAAAGGCAGUGUUCAACAAGAGUCACGGCAGUUCUUAUCUCUCGCAGUCAUUUAUUCUGACCAAGCUGAAGAAGCGGUUGCGAAC
Ixodes scapularis (black-legged tick) is the source of this 167-nucleotide long non-coding RNA. RefSeq lists it as uncharacterized. Lineage: Eukaryota; Metazoa; Arthropoda; Arachnida; Ixodida; Ixodidae. The record is from RefSeq and is a predicted model, not a curated record. The transcript is spliced from 3 exons.